Molecule: ribosomal RNA, 1289 nt
Filed under: metagenome
Description: bacterial LSU rRNA
Rfam family: Bacterial large subunit ribosomal RNA
Source: RNAcentral
AGCUGUGUGUAUUUCUGAGGUGCCCGUACCGCAAACCGACACAGGUAGGUAGGAAGAAGAUUCUAAGGCCAACGGGAGAAGGGUUGUUAAGGAACUCGGCAAAUUGACCCCGUAACUUCGGGAGAAGGGGUGCUCCAGAGAUGGAGCCGCAGAGAAUCGGCCCAAGCAACUGUUUACCAAAAACACAGGUUUGUGCUAAAUCGAAAGAUGACGUAUACGAGCUGACGCCUGCCCGGUGCUGGAAGGUUAAGAGGAGAUGUGCAAGCAUUGAAUCGAAGCCCCAGUGAACGGCGGCCGUAACAAUAACGGUCCUAAGGUAGCGAAAUUCCUUGUCAGGUAAGUUCUGACCCCGCAUGAAAGGCGUAAUGAUUUGGGCACUGUCUCAACAGCCCGCCCGGCGAAAUUGUAGUACCGGUGAAGAUGCCGGUUACCCGCGACAAGACGGAAAGACCCCAUGGAGCUUUACUGUAGCCUAAUAUUGGGUUUCGAUGUUGCAUGCACAGGAUAGAUGGGACACUGGGAAACAAUCGCUUUGGCGGUUACGGAGUGGCCGUUGGGAUACCAUCCUUGCGAUAUUGGAAUUCUAACCUGCGGCUCUGAAUCGAGUCGGGGGACAUUGUUAGGUGGGCAGUUUGACUGGGGCGGUCGCCUCCUAAAAAGUAACGGAGGCGUUCAAAGGUUCGCUCAGCUUGAACGGAAAUCAAGCAAAAGAGUGCAAACGCAGAAGCGAGCCUAACUGCGAGACUGACGGGUCGAGCAGUAACGAAAGUUGGAGUUAGUGAUCCGGUGGUAUGUGAGUGGAAAUGCCAUCGUUCAACGGAUAAAAGUUACCCUGGGGAUAACAGGCUGAUCUCCCCCAAGAGUCCACAUCGACGGGGAGGUUUGGCACCUCGAUGUCGGCUCAUCGCAUCCUGGGGCUGUAUUCGGUCCCAAGGGUUUGGCUGUUCGCCAAUUAAAGCGGUACGCGAGCUGGGUUCAGAACGUCGUGAGACAGUUCGGUCCCUAUCUGUCGUGGGCGCAGGAUAUUUGAUGGGAGCUGUCCCUAGUACGAGAGGACCGGGACGGACGUACCUCUGGCGCACCAGUUGUUCCGCCAGGAGCAUAGCUGGGCAACUACGUACGGAUCGGAUAAACGCUGAAAGCAUCUAAGCGUGAAGCCGACCCAAAGAUAAGAUGUCCCAUUGUUUUAAACAAGUAAGACCCCUUGAAGACUACAAGGUUGAUAGGCACGAUGUGUAAGUGGAGCGAUCCAUUCAGCAAGCGUGUACUAAUAGGUCGAGGGCUUGACC